CGUCAGCGGGAGGCCCAGGAAUCCAGUUGUUUGCGUCUCCCCCCCUCGACGUCCCCACACCCUUCUUCUUCCGACUCGAGACUUUAGCCUUUGUUCACUGCUCGCGCGCGCCGUGGACAGUCGGCCCCGCUAGUUUCUCGACGCCUCGGCAAGCUUUUCCAAAGCGACGACCUCUCCUGUGUUACCCAGCGCGGCACGACGGACUGUUUGCCCGUCGCUCGCUUUCUUCGCCUCUCCUGACUAAGCGCUUCCCUCUGCUAUUUCUUUUUCUGUGCUCUCGGACGCGCGUCAGUUGCGCAAGCGCCGCUCGUUCGGCGAUCAUCCGGCGUGCUUCUUUGACGCGCGCUGACGCCAGUGGACAGCCGCAGCUCCUCCCUUCCCUUUAAUCGCUCGGGCACAGAUUGCGUUUGCCCCCGAAGCACCCUUCAUCUCUGCCGUUUCGGUGCGACAGGACGAAGGAAGAAGCGGUUUAUUUGCUUUAUUUGGAAAAGAGUUCGUCUCCGACCCACGGCUGCUGCCGCCUCAGCACUUGCAGACAGAUGAAAUCAUACGCGGUCCUGUGGUUCUUCCUGGGAGUGAUGUGUUCUGCCAUGCUGACAGCGCACAGUCAAGCGUGCCGAACAGAAAGGCAACAGUGCAGUCCCCGGAACGCCUGCUGCGAGGGCCUGGCCUGCGCCCCCAUGUUCUUGGACGACAAGAACCCGCAGCUCUUCUACGGCAACUGCCUGCAGUCCGUGCCGUCGUCGCUGUCGCGCUCGGAGCCUCCGAAACCCGAGAGGCCGGCCUUCUCACCGCGGGGACCAGUGCUCAGGGACAGUCAGCGCUAACCCACGUCGCAGGAUCGACAACCUCAGCUUCACCGGCUCCCACCAUCUCACUAAUCAUCCCUAGUGCUCGACCACAUGCGUGACCACUGUGCGACAUCCACCUUCUAUACGUCUCCUUGUUUAGUGUUCUGUUGCCGCCAUUCGUGUGCUUUGAUGUGUGCGUGCUUUUUGCGAAUAGAACAAGUAAAAGAGAAACGGCACAA
This is a long non-coding RNA of Rhipicephalus microplus (southern cattle tick), 1030 nucleotides long. NCBI's taxonomy places the organism in Eukaryota, Metazoa, Arthropoda, Arachnida, Ixodida, Ixodidae. The record is from RefSeq and is a predicted model, not a curated record.